CACCCUGCCCGGCCAGCUGUCCGUCCCCUGCACCCCUUACGACGCCAGCCGUAUGUGAGGGCCCCUGUGUGGAGGGCUGCCAGUGCGACGCGGGUUUCGUGUUAAGUGCUGACCGCUGUGUUCCCCUCAACAACGGCUGCGGCUGCUGGGCCAAUGGCACCUACCACGAGGCGGGCAGUGAGUUUUGGGCUGAUGGCACCUGCUCCCAGUGGUGUCGCUGCGGGCCUGGGGGUGGCUCGCUGGUCUGCACACCUGCCAGCUGUGGGCUGGGUGAAGUGUGUGGCCUCCUGCCAUCCGGCCAGCACGGCUGCCAGCCCGUCAGCACAGCUGAGUGCCAGGCGUGGGGUGACCCCCAUUACGUCACUCUGGAUGGGCACCGAUUCGAUUUCCAAGGCACCUGCGAGUACCUGCUGAGUGCACCCUGCCACGGACCACCCUUGGGGGCUGAGAACUUCACUGUCACUGUAGCCAAUGAGCACCGGGGCAGCCAGGCUGUCAGCUACACCCGCAGUGUCACCCUGCAAAUCUACAACCACAGCCUGACACUGAGUGCCCGCUGGCCCCGGAAGCUACAGGUGGACGGCGUGUUCGUCACUCUGCCCUUCCAGCUGGACUCGCUCCUGCACGCACACCUGAGCGGCGCCGACGUGGUGGUGACCACAACCUCAGGGCUCUCGCUGGCUUUCGAUGGGGACAGCUUCGUGCGCCUGCGCGUGCCGGCGGCGUACGCGGGCUCUCUCUGUGGCUUAUGCGGGAACUACAACCAGGACCCCGCAGACGACCUGAAGGCGGUGGGCGGGAAGCCCGCCGGAUGGCAGGUGGGCGGCGCCCAGGGCUGCGGGGAA
Molecule: long non-coding RNA, 845 nt
Filed under: Homo sapiens (human)
Lineage: Eukaryota; Metazoa; Chordata; Mammalia; Primates; Hominidae
Description: HSALNT0259808
Source: RNAcentral